UUAAAUUGAAGAGUUUGAUCAUGGCUCAGAUUGAACGCUGGCGGCAGGCCUAACACAUGCAAGUCGAACGGUAACAGGAAGCAGCUUGCUGCUUCGCUGACGAGUGGCGGACGG
RNAcentral lists this ribosomal RNA (114 nucleotides) under Enterobacter cloacae. Its description in RNAcentral is "partial 16S ribosomal RNA". It matches the Rfam family "Bacterial small subunit ribosomal RNA", at positions 1 to 105 of the family's 1533-position model. The record is from RNAcentral. Lineage: Bacteria; Pseudomonadati; Pseudomonadota; Gammaproteobacteria; Enterobacterales; Enterobacteriaceae. RNAcentral also lists the same sequence under 41 other names.